RNAcentral lists this ribosomal RNA (254 nucleotides) under uncultured Pseudomonas sp. RNAcentral's name for it is "partial 16S ribosomal RNA". It matches the Rfam family "Bacterial small subunit ribosomal RNA", at positions 99 to 354 of the family's 1533-position model. Lineage: Bacteria; Pseudomonadati; Pseudomonadota; Gammaproteobacteria; Pseudomonadales; Pseudomonadaceae. The record is from RNAcentral.
CGGACGGGUGAGUAAUGCCUAGGAAUCUGCCUGGUAGUGGGGGACAACGUUUCGAAAGGAACGCUAAUACCGCAUACGUCCUACGGGAGAAAGCAGGGGACCUUCGGGCCUUGCGCUAUCAGAUGAGCCUAGGUCGGAUUAGCUAGUUGGUGAGGUAAUGGCUCACCAAGGCGACGAUCCGUAACUGGUCUGAGAGGAUGAUCAGUCACACUGGAACUGAGACACGGUCCAGACUCCUACGGGAGGCAGCAGGU